UUUAAUUAUUAUAUAUAAAAGUGAAAAUAUAAAAUAUAAAUUAAUUUUAGUUGGGGCAACUGGGAGGGAUAAAAAUCUUUUAUUAAAUCAUUUAUAGUAAUAUUUAUAUUUAUGAUCCAAAUUAGUUAAUUUUGAACUUAGAAU
RNAcentral lists this ribosomal RNA (144 nucleotides) under Ledella ultima. Its description in RNAcentral is "partial small subunit ribosomal RNA". Lineage: Eukaryota; Metazoa; Mollusca; Bivalvia; Nuculanida sp.; Nuculanidae. The record is from RNAcentral.